This 468-nucleotide ribosomal RNA is filed under the name uncultured bacterium. Its description in RNAcentral is "partial 16S ribosomal RNA". It matches the Rfam family "Bacterial small subunit ribosomal RNA", at positions 28 to 507 of the family's 1533-position model. The record is from RNAcentral.
GACGAACGCUGGCGGCGUGCUUAACACAUGCAAGUCGAACGGAAAGGCCCUGCUUUUGUGGGUUGCUCGAGUGGCGAACGGGUGAGUAACACGUGAGUAACCUGCCCUUGACUUUGUGAUAACUUCAGGAAACUGGGGCUAAUACCGGAUAGGAGCUCCUGCUGCAUGGUGGGGGUUGGAAAGUUUCGGCGGUUCUGUAUGUACUCGCGGCUUAUCAGCUUGUUUGUGGGGUAGUGGCUUACCAAGGCUUUGACGGGUAGCCGGCCUGAGAGGGUGACCGGCCACAUUGGGACUGAGAGACGGCCCAGACUGCUACGGGAGGCAGCAGUGGGGAAUAUUGAACAAUGGGCGGAAGCCUGAUGCAGCAACGCCGCGUGCGGGAUGACGGCCUUCGGGGUGUAAACCGCUUUCGCCUGUGACGAAGCGUGAGUGACGGUAAUGUGUAAAGAAGCACCGGCUAACUACGUG